This 495-nucleotide ribosomal RNA is filed under the name uncultured bacterium. Its description in RNAcentral is "partial 16S ribosomal RNA". It matches the Rfam family "Bacterial small subunit ribosomal RNA", at positions 28 to 523 of the family's 1533-position model. The record is from RNAcentral.
GAUGAACGCUGGCGGCGUGCUUAACACAUGCAAGUCGAGCGAAGCAUUUUAAAGGAAGUUUUCGGAUGGAAUUUAAAAUGACUUAGCGGCGGACGGGUGAGUAACGCGUGGGUAACCUGCCUCAUACAGGGGGAUAACAGUUAGAAAUGACUGCUAAUACCGCAUAAGCGCACAGUGCUGCAUAGCACAGUGUGAAAAACUCCGGUGGUAUGAGAUGGACCCGCGUCUGAUUAGGUAGUUGGUGAGGUAACGGCCCACCAAGCCGACGAUCAGUAGCCGGCCUGAGAGGGUGACCGGCCACAUUGGGACUAAGACCCGGCCCAAACUCCUACGGGAGGCAGCAGUGGGGAAUAUUGGACAAUGGGGGAAACCCUGAUCCAGCGACGCUGCGUGAGUGAAGAAGUAUUUCGGUAUGUAAAGCUCUAUCAGCAGGGAAGAAAAUGACGGUACCUGACUAAGAAGCCCCGGCUAACUACGUGCCAGCAGCCGCCGUAA